ACGCCAGUCUGCAUGGAGCCGACCUUGAAAUACCACCCUUUAAUGUUUGAUGUUCUAACGUUGACCCCUAAUCGGGGUUGCGGACAGUGUCUGGUGGGUAGUUUGACUGGGGCGGUCUCCUCCUAAAGAGUAACGGAGGAGCACGAAGGUUGGCUAAUCCUGGUCGGACAUCAGGAGGUUAGUGCAAUGGCAUAAGCCAGCUUGACUGCGAGCGUGACGGCGCGAGCAGGUGCGAAAGCAGGUCAUAGUGAUCCGGUGGUUCUGAAUGGAAGGGCCAUCGCUCAACGGAUAAAAGGUACUCCGGGGAUAACAGGCUGAUACCGCCCAAGAGUUCAUAUCGACGGCGGUGUUUGGCACCUCGAUGUCGGCUCAUCACAUCCUGGGGCUGAAGUAGGUCCCAAGGGUAUGGCUGUUCGCCAUUUAAAGUGGUACGCGAGCUGGGUUUAGAACGUCGUGAGACAGUUCGGUCCCUAUCUGCCGUGGGCGCUGGAGAACUGAGGGGGGCUGCUCCUAGUACGAGAGGACCGGAGUGGACGCAUCACUGGUGUUCGGGUUGUCAUGCCAAUGGCACUGCCCGGUAGCUAAAUGCGGAAGAGAUAAGUGCUGAAAGCAUCUAAGCACGAAACUUGCC
RNAcentral lists this ribosomal RNA (631 nucleotides) under Escherichia coli. RNAcentral's name for it is "partial 23S ribosomal RNA". It matches the Rfam family "Bacterial large subunit ribosomal RNA", at positions 2168 to 2798 of the family's 2925-position model. Lineage: Bacteria; Pseudomonadati; Pseudomonadota; Gammaproteobacteria; Enterobacterales; Enterobacteriaceae. The record is from RNAcentral.